RNAcentral lists this transfer RNA (72 nucleotides) under Stegodyphus mimosarum. It matches the Rfam family "tRNA". Rfam says of the family: Transfer RNA (tRNA) molecules are approximately 80 nucleotides in length. Their secondary structure includes four short double-helical elements and three loops (D, anti-codon, and T loops). The record is from Rfam by way of RNAcentral. Lineage: Eukaryota; Metazoa; Arthropoda; Arachnida; Araneae; Eresidae.
GCCUUCGUGGUGUAGUGGUCAGCACGCUGGUGCGUAUUCCAGAAGUCCGUGGUUCGAGUCCCGGCGAAGGCG